RNAcentral lists this ribosomal RNA (1703 nucleotides) under Escherichia coli. Its description in RNAcentral is "partial 23S ribosomal RNA". It matches the Rfam family "Bacterial large subunit ribosomal RNA", at positions 1236 to 2915 of the family's 2925-position model. The record is from RNAcentral. Lineage: Bacteria; Pseudomonadati; Pseudomonadota; Gammaproteobacteria; Enterobacterales; Enterobacteriaceae.
GCGUUCUGUAAGCCUGUGAAGGUGGCCUGUGAGGGUUGCUGGAGGUAUCAGAAGUGCGAAUGCUGACAUAAGUAACGAUAAAGCGGGUGAAAAGCCCGCUCGCCGGAAGACCAAGGGUUCCUGUCCAACGUUAAUCGGGGCAGGGUGAGUCGACCCCUAAGGCGAGGCCGAAAGGCGUAGUCGAUGGGAAACAGGUUAAUAUUCCUGUACUUGGUGUUACUGCGAAGGGGGGACGGAGAAGGCUAUGUUGGCCGGGCGACGGUUGUCCCGGUUUAAGCGUGUAGGCUGGUUUUCCAGGCAAAUCCGGAAAACCAAGGCUGAGGCGUGAUGACGAGGCACUACGGUGCUGAAGCGACAAAUGCCCUGCUUCCAGGAAAAGCCUCUAAGCAUCAGGUAACAUCAAAUCGUACCCCAAACCGACACAGGUGGUCAGGUAGAGAAUACCAAGGCGCUUGAGAGAACUCGGGUGAAGGAACUAGGCAAAAUGGUGCCGUAACUUCGGGAGAAGGCACGCUGAUAUGUAGGUGAAGCGACUUGCUCGUGGAGCUGAAAUCAGUCGAAGAUACCAGCUGGCUGCAACUGUUUAUUAAAAACACAGCACUGUGCAAACACGAAAGUGGACGUAUACGGUGUGACGCCUGCCCGGUGCCGGAAGGUUAAUUGAUGGGGUUAGCGGCAACGCGAAGCUCUUGAUCGAAGCCCCGGUAAACGGCGGCCGUAACUAUAACGGUCCUAAGGUAGCGAAAUUCCUUGUCGGGUAAGUUCCGACCUGCACGAAUGGCGUAAUGAUGGCCAGGCUGUCUCCACCCGAGACUCAGUGAAAUUGAACUCGCUGUGAAGAUGCAGUGUACCCGCGGCAAGACGGAAAGACCCCGUGAACCUUUACUAUAGCUUGACACUGAACAUUGAGCCUUGAUGUGUAGGAUAGGUGGGAGGCUUUGAAGUGUGGACGCCAGUCUGCAUGGAGCCGACCUUGAAAUACCACCCUUUAAUGUUUGAUGUUCUAACGUUGGCCCGUAAUCCGGGUUGCGGACAGUGUCUGGUGGGUAGUUUGACUGGGGCGGUCUCCUCCUAAAGAGUAACGGAGGAGCACGAAGGUUGGCUAAUCCUGGUCGGACAUCAGGAGGUUAGUGCAAUGGCAUAAGCCAGCUUGACUGCGAGCGUGACGGCGCGAGCAGGUGCGAAAGCAGGUCAUAGUGAUCCGGUGGUUCUGAAUGGAAGGGCCAUCGCUCAACGGAUAAAAGGUACUCCGGGGAUAACAGGCUGAUACCGCCCAAGAGUUCAUAUCGACGGCGGUGUUUGGCACCUCGAUGUCGGCUCAUCACAUCCUGGGGCUGAAGUAGGUCCCAAGGGUAUGGCUGUUCGCCAUUUAAAGUGGUACGCGAGCUGGGUUUAGAACGUCGUGAGACAGUUCGGUCCCUAUCUGCCGUGGGCGCUGGAGAACUGAGGGGGGCUGCUCCUAGUACGAGAGGACCGGAGUGGACGCAUCACUGGUGUUCGGGUUGUCAUGCCAAUGGCACUGCCCGGUAGCUAAAUGCGGAAGAGAUAAGUGCUGAAAGCAUCUAAGCACGAAACUUGCCCCGAGAUGAGUUCUCCCUGACUCCUUGAGAGUCCUGAAGGAACGUUGAAGACGACGACGUUGAUAGGCCGGGUGUGUAAGCGCAGCGAUGCGUUGAGCUAACCGGUACUAAUGAACCGUGAGG